ACUGUCUUAUUCCUCAGUUCUUUAUCCUUCCAAUCUAACAGAGUCACUGGUUCCUCAUCAUAAGUCAAGUCCGAAUUGAUUGCCAAAGGUUGAGGAGGAAUCACAUGUGAAGGGUCUGAAACAUAAUGUCGAAGCAUCGAAACAUGAAAUACAUCGUGUACCUUGGAUAACUCUGGAGGCAACUCAAGCCUGUAAGCAACCUCACUGACUCGCUCGGUGAUCAUAUAUGGUCCAAUGUACCUAGGACUCAAUUUUCCUUUCUUUCCAAAUCGUACAACACCCUUCUAAGGUGAUAGCUUUAGAAAUACCCAAUCACCUACAUUAUACUUCCGAUCAGUGGCAUGCUUGUCUGCUAAGCUCUUUUGUCGAUCUUGGGCCGCUUUCAGGUUAGACUUAAUUACCUGAACUUUUUGAGUAGUCACAUCCAUAAUCUCAGGGCCCA
Molecule: long non-coding RNA, 442 nt
Filed under: Malus domestica (apple)
Lineage: Eukaryota; Viridiplantae; Streptophyta; Magnoliopsida; Rosales; Rosaceae
Description: long non-coding RNA (MDOM_LNC012391)
Source: RNAcentral